RNAcentral lists this ribosomal RNA (249 nucleotides) under uncultured Clostridium sp. RNAcentral's name for it is "partial 16S ribosomal RNA". It matches the Rfam family "Bacterial small subunit ribosomal RNA", at positions 92 to 339 of the family's 1533-position model. Lineage: Bacteria; Bacillati; Bacillota; Clostridia; Eubacteriales; Clostridiaceae. The record is from RNAcentral.
CUAGCGGCGGACGGGUGAGUAACACGUGGGCAACCUGCCUUGUAGAGGGGAAUAGCCUUCCGAAAGGAAGAUUAAUACCGCAUAACAUUACAUUUUCGCAUGAAGAAGUAAUUAAAGGAGCAAUCCGCUACAAGAUGGGCCCGCGGCGCAUUAGCUAGUUGGUGAGGUAACGGCUCACCAAGGCGACGAUGCGUAGCCGACCUGAGAGGGUGAUCGGCCACAUUGGGACUGAGACACGGCCCAGACUCC